RNAcentral lists this ribosomal RNA (440 nucleotides) under uncultured bacterium. Its description in RNAcentral is "partial 16S ribosomal RNA". It matches the Rfam family "Bacterial small subunit ribosomal RNA", at positions 339 to 795 of the family's 1533-position model. The record is from RNAcentral.
CUACGGGGUGCAGCAGUAGGGAAUAUUGCACAAUGGGCGAAAGCCUGAUGCAGCAACGCCGCGUGCGCGAUGAGGGCCUUCGGGUUGUAAAGCGCUUUUCUGAGGGAAGAGGAAGGACUGUACCUCAGGAAUAAGUCUCGGCUAACUACGUGCCAGCAGCCGCGGUAACACGUAGGAGGCAAGCGUUAUCCGGAUUUACUGGGCGUAAAGCGCGUGUAGGCGGUUUGGCAAGUCGGAUGUGAAAGCUCCUGGCUCAACUGGGAGAGGUCGUUCGAAACUGCCAGACUAGAGGACGGUAGAGGAAGAUGGAAUUCCCGGUGUAGUAGUGAAAUGCGUAGAUAUCGGGAGGAACACCAGUGGCGAAGGCGGUCUUCUGGGCCGUUCCUGACGCUGAGACGCGAAAGCAUGGGUAGCGAACGGGAUUAGAUACCCCCGUAGUC